RNAcentral lists this long non-coding RNA (1396 nucleotides) under Junco hyemalis (dark-eyed junco). RNAcentral's name for it is "lncRNA (ENSJHYG00000001997.1)". The record is from RNAcentral. Lineage: Eukaryota; Metazoa; Chordata; Aves; Passeriformes; Passerellidae.
CCCCGAACUCCCCCCGGUGCCUUUGGGGGUCCCUGACUCGCCCCCCCCCCCCGCAGCCGCCCGGGUUCCGCCGCGCCUACAGCUCCCCGCUGUACAGCGAGCAGCGGCUGGGGGGCGCCCGCGAGCUCGGUGAGUGCGCCGCGCUGGCACUGGCGCUGUGUCACUGUCACUGUGUCACUGUGUCACCUGUGUUACUGUGUCACUGUCACUGUGUGUCACUGUGUCACCUGUCAGCAUUGUCACCUGUGUCACUGUGUCACCUGUGUGUCACCUGUCACUGUCACUGUGUCACCCUGUGUCACCUGUGUGUCACUGUGUCACUGUCACUGUGUCACUGUCACUGUGUGUCACCUGUCACUGUGUCACCUGUCAGCAUUGUCACCUGUGUCACUGUGUCACUGUCACUGUGUGUCACCUGUCACCUGUGUCACCUGUGUUACUGCGUCACCUGUCACCGCGGCACUGUGUCACUGUGUCACCAUUGUCACCUGUGUCACCUGUGUGUCACCUGUCACCUGUCACCUGUGUCACUGUGUCAUCUGUCACUGUGUCACCCUGUGUAUCACCUGUCACCCUGUGUCACCUGUGUGUCACCUGUGUGUCACCUGUCACUGUGUGUCACUGUGUCACUGUCACUGUGUCACCUGUCACCGUGGCACUCUGUCACUGUGUCACCUGUGUCACCUGUGUCACCGUGUUACCUAUCACGUGUGUCACCUGUCACUCUGUGUCACCGCGGCACUGUGUCACUGUGGCACCUGUCACCUGUCACUGUGUCACUGUGUCACCCUGUGUCACCUGUCACCUGUGUUACUGUGUCACCUGUGUGUCACCCUGUGUCACCUGUCAUCUGUGUCACUGUGUCACCUGUGUGUCACCCUGUGUCACUGUGUCACCUGUGUCACAUCUGUGUCACCUGUGUCACUCUGUCACCUGUCACAUGUGUCACCUGUGUCACCUGUCACCUGUGUCACUGUGUCACCAUGUAUCACCCGUGUGUCACCUGUCACCUGUCACUGUGUCACUGUGUCACUGUGUCACCCUGUGUGUCACCUGUCACCCUAUGUCACCGUGUCACUGUGUCAUCUUUCACCCGUGUCACUGUGUCACCUGUGUCACCUGUCACCUGUCACUGUGUCACUGUGUCACCUUUGUUGUCUGUGUCACCUCUGACACACCUGUCACCUGUGUACCUGUGUGACCCGUCUCACCUGUGUCACCUCUGCCACCUGUGUCACCUGUGUGUCACUGUAACCUGUGUCACUGUGUCACCAUUAUCACCAUUGUCACCAUUGUCACCAUUGUCACCUGUCACCCAUGUCACCUGUGUGUCACCUGUGUCACUAUUGUCACUGUGUCACCUGUAUGUCACCUCUGUCACCUGUGUGUCACCUGU